This 159-nucleotide ribosomal RNA is filed under the name Wallaceodendron celebicum. RNAcentral's name for it is "5.8S ribosomal RNA". It matches the Rfam family "5.8S ribosomal RNA". From Rfam's summary of the family: 5.8S ribosomal RNA (5.8S rRNA) is a component of the large subunit of the eukaryotic ribosome. It is transcribed by RNA polymerase I as part of the 45S precursor that also contains 18S and 28S rRNA. Functionally, it is thought that 5.8S rRNA may be involved in ribosome translocation. Lineage: Eukaryota; Viridiplantae; Streptophyta; Magnoliopsida; Fabales; Fabaceae. The record is from RNAcentral.
CGACUCUCGGCAACGGAUAUCUCGGCUCUCGCAUCGAUGAAGAACGUAGCGAAAUGCGAUACUUGGUGUGAAUUGCAGAAUCCCGUGAACCAUCGAGUCUUUGAACGCAAGUUGCGCCCGAGGCCGCUCGGCCGAGGGCACGUCUGCCUGGGUGUCACG